RNAcentral lists this transfer RNA (84 nucleotides) under Cavernulicola chilensis. Its description in RNAcentral is "tRNA-Leu". It matches the Rfam family "tRNA". From Rfam's summary of the family: Transfer RNA (tRNA) molecules are approximately 80 nucleotides in length. Their secondary structure includes four short double-helical elements and three loops (D, anti-codon, and T loops). The record is from RNAcentral. Lineage: Eukaryota; Rhodophyta; Bangiophyceae; Cavernulicolales; Cavernulicolaceae.
CGGACGUGGCGGAAUUGGUAGACGCGCCAGAUUUAGGUCCUGGUGAAUAUCUUCGUGAGAGUUCAAGUCUCUCCGUCCGUAAUA